UACGUAGGUGGCAAGCGUUGUCCGGAUUUACUGGGCGUAAAGGAUGCGUAGGCGGAUAUUUAAGUCAGAUGUGAAAUUCCCGGGCUCAACUUGGGAGCUGCAUUUGAAACUGGGUAUCUAGAGUGCGGGAGAGGAGAGUGGAAUUCCUAGUGUAGCGGUGAAAUGCGCAGAUAUCAGGAGGAACACCGAUUGCGAAGGCAGCUCGCUGGGACGUCACUGACGCUGAGACGCGAAAGCGUGGGGAGCAAACAGG
This 253-nucleotide ribosomal RNA is filed under the name uncultured bacterium. Its description in RNAcentral is "partial 16S ribosomal RNA". It matches the Rfam family "Bacterial small subunit ribosomal RNA", at positions 524 to 776 of the family's 1533-position model. The record is from RNAcentral.